UUUUUCUUUAAUCUUCAAGGCUGCCCACAGCAGGCAGCAACAGCAAUGUGCAGCUCCUGCAAUUGAAAGACAAUGUUUAGAUUUAGUUUGGACCAACAAAGACAAUCCUCAUAGCAAAGCAUGCACAGUUGACGGCGAGCUCCUCCAGCGCCUGCAGCACCUCCUUCACCUCCUCCUUCAGCUGGUUCUCCGUUUACAGCCGGCACAGCUCCUCCUGGGAGGGACGUGGGGUCAGAGGACGCAGCUCGGUGAAGGACCGUCUCCCCCCUGGUCAACAGAAGAGAGAGAGAGAGACAACAUCACCCGAGGAACAGACAUCAA
This is a non-coding RNA of Labrus bergylta (ballan wrasse), 321 nucleotides long. The record is from RefSeq and is a predicted model, not a curated record. Lineage: Eukaryota; Metazoa; Chordata; Actinopteri; Labriformes; Labridae.